UACGAAGGGGGCUAGCGUUGCUCGGAAUCACUGGGCGUAAAGGGUGCGUAGGCGGGUCUUUAAGUCAGGGGUGAAAUCCUGGAGCUCAACUCCAGAACUGCCUUUGAUACUGAAGAUCUUGAGUUCGGGAGAGGUGAGUGGAACUGCGAGUGUAGAGGUGAAAUUCGUAGAUAUUCGCAAGAACACCAGUGGCGAAGGCGGCUCACUGGCCCGAUACUGACGCUGAGGCACGAAAGCGUGGGGAGCAAAUAGG
Molecule: ribosomal RNA, 253 nt
Filed under: uncultured bacterium
Lineage: Bacteria
Description: partial 16S ribosomal RNA
Rfam family: Bacterial small subunit ribosomal RNA
Source: RNAcentral